Molecule: ribosomal RNA, 716 nt
Filed under: uncultured bacterium
Lineage: Bacteria
Description: bacterial SSU rRNA
Rfam family: Bacterial small subunit ribosomal RNA
Source: RNAcentral
AGAGUUUGAUCCUGGCUCAGAUUGAACGCUGGCGGCAUGCCUAACACAUGCAAGUCGAACGGAAACGAUGGGAGCUUGCUCCCAGGCGUCGAGUGGCGGACGGGUGAGUAACACAUAGGAAUCUGCCCAGUAGCGGGGGACAACCUGGUGAAAACCAGGCUAAUACCGCAUACGCCCUACGGGGGAAAGCAGGGGAUCUUCGGACCUUGCACUAUUGGAUGAGCCUAUGUCAGAUUAGCUUGUUGGUGGGGUAACGGCCUACCAAGGCGACGAUCUGUAGCUGGUCUGAGAGGACGAUCAGCCACACUGGGACUGAGACACGGCCCAGACUCCUACGGGAGGCAGCAGUGGGGAAUAUUGCACAAUGGGGGAAACCCUGAUGCAGCAAUGCCGCGUGUGUGAAGAAGGCCUGCGGGUUGUAAAGCACUUUCAGUAGGGAGGAAACAGUUACGGGUUAAUAUCCCGUAGCCUUGACGUUACCUACAGAAGAAGCACCGGCUAACUCUGUGCCAGCAGCCGCGGUAAAUACAGAGGGUGCAAGCGUUAAUCGGAAUUACUGGGCGUAAAGCGCGCGUAGGCGGCUUGGUCAGUCGGAUGUGAAAGCCCCGGGCUUAACCUGGGAAUUGCAUUCGAUACUGCCAGGCUAGAAUGUAGUAGAGGGUAGUGGAAUUCCGGGUGUAGCGGUGAAAUGCGUAGAUAUCCGGAGGAACAUCAGU